RNAcentral lists this ribosomal RNA (382 nucleotides) under Fundulopanchax schwoiseri. RNAcentral describes it as "partial 12S rRNA". It matches the Rfam family "Bacterial small subunit ribosomal RNA", at positions 793 to 1380 of the family's 1533-position model. The record is from RNAcentral. Lineage: Eukaryota; Metazoa; Chordata; Actinopteri; Cyprinodontiformes; Nothobranchiidae.
UGCAUAGCCUUAAACUUUAAUAAAAUAUACAUUUUAUUCGCCAGGGUACUACGAGCAUAAGCUUAAAACCUAAAGGACUUGGCGGUGCUUUAGACCCACCUAGAGGAGCCUGUUCUAUAACCGAUAACCCCCGUUAAACCUCACCUUUUCUUGUUUAUUCCGCCUAUAUACCGCCGUCGUCAGCUUACCCUGUAAAGGUAUUCUAGUAAGCAAAAUUGAUACAAUCCAAAACGCCAGGUCGAGGUGUAGCAUAUGAAAAGGAAAGAAAUGGGCUACAUUUCCUAUUUUAGGAUACCACGGAAAUUGAAAUGAAACAGCACAUUAAAGGAGGAUUUAGCAGUAAGAAGGAAUUAGAGAGUCCUACUGAAACUGGCCCUGAAGC